AUGGGGAAAUUAAUUAGCGGUCAUCCAUGUCUGAAUUUGACACUAGUUCUCACGACAACAACCCUCACUUCCUCAGGGAUCGACCACAUCGCCGUGGACAUGAAGGACCAGAAGAUGACGGUCGUCGGCACCGUCGACCCCAUCGCCGUCGUGGCCAGGCUGCGCAGCAAGCCCUUCCCCACGGCGCAGAUCUUCUCCGUCGGCCCGGCCAAGGAGGAGAAGAAGGACGUCGACAAGAACGACGCGGGCAAGCCGGUGGAGUACCCGACGUACUGGUAUCCGCCGCCGCCGUACCACCCGCACCUGUACCACCUCGCUCACAGCGCCGAGGAGGACCCCAACUCGUGCAUUAUCUGUUGA
This 360-nucleotide ribosomal RNA is filed under the name Triticum aestivum (bread wheat). RNAcentral describes it as "partial small subunit ribosomal RNA". The record is from RNAcentral. Lineage: Eukaryota; Viridiplantae; Streptophyta; Magnoliopsida; Poales; Poaceae.